AUAGGAUUUAUAAGUUUAAAAAUGGAAAUAAACAGAAGAAUCUGGGAAGCAUCUGAAUUUUUGAAGGAAAAAUAUACAAUGGUAUCUCACAAAUCUGUACAAAAGAAUAACAUAAUUGGUGCAGAAUGGAUAUUAUUUGAAGAAAUCAUACUUCAAUUACGUAGAAGGAACACAUUUACCGAAAGAUUACAUAGCUGCCCUACGUCAUGAGAACGUAGAAAUUAGUGUCAAGCAUAUCCCAAAUGUUAUCAUGUUCAUCUUAUUUUUUUAUAUGAAAGAUAAAUCUUGUUUAAGAUCCUAAAAAUAAAAAAAUAGGGCACCUACUAUCCUCUUGUACUUCAUACAGAAAAAGAUUAAAACUCGAUACAAAUGCCAAUGGCACGACAUGUUAAGCUAUGAAUUGUUCUCUUCUCAAACACAAAUGAUUAUUUUUGACGUUAAAGGAGAACAACGAGUAUAGUCACAAACAUGUUUGAACAUAAAGUAAAUUAACAUUAGAAAGAACAAGAAGAAAAGUGACGACAAAUGUAUGAAACACAUAAUUAAAAGAUUCAUAAAACCUUUAUACAGCUUGAGAAAUAGUGAAACACAUGAGAAAGUAGAAAUUUACUCUAUUCCUUACUUGGGGUUUCUUGCGAUUAGGUUUGUUGGGGGGGACAAUGAAUAUUUGUUGGAAGUUUCCCAAAGAACCCCUUUCUGGUCUCAUCAUCAGCUCUAUUGGAAGUACAUAUUAUGUUGGAUGAUACCAAUGACCUUUUGAAGCUUCACAAGAAAAGUUUACCAAUGAGGGGAUCUAGUAAAGUUACAAACAAAUUAGUUGGGUGAUAAAACAGAUCUUGCUGAAGAAAACAAAAUAUGUGUUGCUGGCACAAAUGAAGGUAUAAGGUUAAAAAAAUUCAUCCAUUUUUCUCACAGAAAAUGUAUUCAUCUAUAAAAUGAGGCUAUAGAUCCUCUUCUCCUUUGGUUUUAACCUCUCAAAUAUGAUUUAAAGAGAGAGACAGUAAAGGAUCAUAAAUACUCAGUGCUAUGCUAAUUGCAAUACCUGUCCAACGAUGAAAGCAUCAACCCAAGAAUAUGAAGCAUCAAACUGUUAAAAAUAUGAAGUUAUGUCAAAUUAUUAGUUGCACAGAUUUUUAGAGUAUUUAAGUGAAACGACAAUAAGUCAUUUAAAAAGUUUCUACAAUCAACGAAUUCAACCAAUACCUCUUCUAGUACCUGCUCCAAAAGUAGCGAAUACUCAUUGGAUUCACAAAGUGCUGCACCUACAAAUCAGCAAAUCACUGUAAUUAAACCUGCAAAAUUUGUAUGAAUUUUCACUGUAAUUAAGAAUCAUGUUCUCCUUUUAGUGAAUUUUGGAUUCAAGAAAAAUAAAAUUCUAAGACAAACUAAAAGAUUGAAGAAAAUGUUGUAUAUCUGUAUAUCUUAUGUAAUCUACCAAAAGUAGCCACAAAACAUAAAUCAAUUCUAAAGAGAGGAUCCAAGAAAUUUGCGGGGAGAUGAGGGGAACUUGCAAUCACAAGUACAAAAAACCACUAUCGAGAAAAAAGAAAAGGGAAACAGCGCAGAAAGAGCCUGCACUCAAGGGCGGAGCCCAUUAG
RNAcentral lists this long non-coding RNA (1598 nucleotides) under Olea europaea subsp. europaea. The record is from RNAcentral. Lineage: Eukaryota; Viridiplantae; Streptophyta; Magnoliopsida; Lamiales; Oleaceae.